CCAGAGAAUUUAGCAGAGAUGCUUUAGUGCCUUCGGGAACUCUGAGACAGGUGCUGCAUGGCUGUCGUCAGCUCGUGUUGUGAAAUGUUGGGUUAAGUCCCGCAGCGAGCGCAACCCCUAUCCUUUGUUGCCAGCGAUUCGGUCGGGAACUCAAAGGAGACUGCCGGUGAUAAACCGGAGGAAGGUGGGGAUGACGUCAAGUCAUCAUGGCCCUUACGAGUAGGGCUACACACGUGCUACAAUGGCGCAUACAAAGAGAAGCGACCUCGCGAGAGCAAGCGGACCUCAUAAAGUGCGUCGUAGUCCGGAUUGGAGUCUGCAACUCGACUCCAUGAAGUCGGAAUCGCUAGUAAUCGUAGAUCAGAAUGCUACGGUGAAUACGUUCCCGGGCCUUGUACACACCGCCCGUCACACCAUGGGAGUGGGUUGCAAAAGAAGUAGAUAGCUUAACCUUCGGGAGGGCGUUUACCACUUUGUGAUUCAUGACUGGGGUGAAGUCGUAACAAGGUAGGCGUACGUGU
RNAcentral lists this ribosomal RNA (521 nucleotides) under uncultured bacterium. RNAcentral's name for it is "bacterial SSU rRNA". It matches the Rfam family "Bacterial small subunit ribosomal RNA", at positions 988 to 1509 of the family's 1533-position model. The record is from RNAcentral.